RNAcentral lists this ribosomal RNA (25 nucleotides) under Trebouxia sp. Kauff4-1998. RNAcentral's name for it is "partial 18S ribosomal RNA". The record is from RNAcentral. Lineage: Eukaryota; Viridiplantae; Chlorophyta; Trebouxiophyceae; Trebouxiales; Trebouxiaceae.
AGGUGAACCUGCGGANGGAUCAUUG